RNAcentral lists this small RNA (775 nucleotides) under Pongo abelii (Sumatran orangutan). Its description in RNAcentral is "processed transcript". Lineage: Eukaryota; Metazoa; Chordata; Mammalia; Primates; Hominidae. The record is from RNAcentral.
GACCUUCAGGGGCCCGGGCGGCGGGCGCAGGCCCCUGCGGCGGCGGCGGCGGGAUGUUCGUGCAGGAGGACAAGAUCUUCGCGGGCAAGGUGCUGCGGCUGCACAUCUGCGCGUCCGACGGCGCCGAGUGGCUGGAGGAGGCCUCCGAGGACACCUCGGUGGAGAAGCUCAAGGAGCGCUGCCUCAAGCACUGUGCUCAUGGUAGCUUAGAAGAUCCCAAAAGUAUAACCCAUCAUAAAUUAAUCCACGCUGCCUCAGAAAGGGUGCUGAGUGAUGCCAGGACCAUCUUGGAAGAGAACAUCCAGGACCAAGAUGUCCUAUUAUUGAUAAAAAAGCGUGCUCCAUCACCACUUCCCAAGAUGGCUGAUGUCUCAGCAGAAGAAAAGAAAAAACAAGACCAGAAAGCUCCAGAUAAAGAGGCCAUACUCCGGGCCACCGCCAACCUGCCCUCCUACAACAUGGACCGGGCCGCAGUCCAGACCAACAUGAGAGACGUGAGUGUCAGCCCAGAGCGGUGGCAGGCGCAUAGGGUCCCCGUGUGGGGGAUUGCUGUGGGGGGUUCCGCGGGGCGGGGGAGCAGGAGGAGAUUCUCUGGAACGAUUUGGGGAAGCCAGUGAGCGGGUCUAUAGGACUGCACUAUUUUGCAUUUUUUCUGUAAAUCAAAAAUUAUUUUCAAGUAAGAGUUGGAAAGCCAUCUGAAGGCAGGACUGAAAAGAUAGAUACCCCUGGGAAAACGUCAGUCCGGCCCUGAGUUUGGCAAAAAUGUUUAGAUAGA